Molecule: ribosomal RNA, 805 nt
Filed under: Agreia pratensis
Lineage: Bacteria; Bacillati; Actinomycetota; Actinomycetes; Micrococcales; Microbacteriaceae
Description: bacterial SSU rRNA
Rfam family: Bacterial small subunit ribosomal RNA
Source: RNAcentral
GUAACACGUGAGUAACCUGCCCUUGACUCUGGGAUAAGCACUGGAAACGGUGUCUAAUACCGGAUAUUUCAGCUGGCCGCAUGGUCUGGUUGUGGAAAGAAUUUUGGUCAAGGAUGGACUCGCGGCCUAUCAGGUUGUUGGUGAGGUAAUGGCUCACCAAGCCUACGACGGGUAGCCGGCCUGAGAGGGUGACCGGCCACACUGGGACUGAGACACGGCCCAGACUCCUACGGGAGGCAGCAGUGGGGAAUAUUGCACAAUGGGCGAAAGCCUGAUGCAGCAACGCCGCGUGAGGGACGACGGCCUUCGGGUUGUAAACCUCUUUUAGUAGGGAAGAAGCGAAAGUGACGGUACCUGCAGAAAAAGCACCGGCUAACUACGUGCCAGCAGCCGCGGUAAUACGUAGGGUGCAAGCGUUGUCCGGAAUUAUUGGGCGUAAAGAGCUCGUAGGCGGUUUGUCGCGUCUGCUGUGAAAACUGGAGGCUCAACCUCCAGCCUGCAGUGGGUACGGGCAGACUAGAGUGCGGUAGGGGAGAUUGGAAUUCCUGGUGUAGCGGUGGAAUGCGCAGAUAUCAGGAGGAACACCGAUGGCGAAGGCAGAUCUCUGGGCCGUAACUGACGCUGAGGAGCGAAAGCAUGGGGAGCGAACAGGAUUAGAUACCCUGGUAGUCCAUGCCGUAAACGUUGGGAACUAGAUGUGGGGGCCAUUCCACGGUCUCCGUGUCGCAGCUAACGCAUUAAGUUCCCCGCCUGGGGAGUACGGCCGCAAGGCUAAAACUCAAAGGAAUUGACGGGGGCCCGCACA